CGUUGUUCGGAUUUACUGGGCGUAAAGCGCACGUAGGCGGACUUUUAAGUCAGGGGUGAAAUCCCGGGGCUCAACCCCGGAACUGCCUUUGAUACUGGAAGUCUUGAGUAUGGAAGAGGUAAGUGGAAUUGCGAGUGUAGAGGUGAAAUUCGUAGAUAUUCGCAGGAACACCAGUGGCGAAGGCGGCUUACUGGUCCAUUACUGACGCUGAGGUGCGAAAGCCAGGGCAGC
RNAcentral lists this ribosomal RNA (231 nucleotides) under uncultured bacterium. RNAcentral's name for it is "partial 16S ribosomal RNA". It matches the Rfam family "Bacterial small subunit ribosomal RNA", at positions 539 to 769 of the family's 1533-position model. The record is from RNAcentral.